GGGGUAGAUUGUAAUCCCCCGUAAUUUUAUAAAAUUUAUUAAUAUAUUUAACAUAUAGUUAAUUAUAUUUAAAUAGAAUUUACGAAUUUUAGAAAUUAAAAUGUAAUUAAUGAAUAUUUAUUUAUACGUUUUAAAUAUUUCAACGAUUUAUGAAAUCAAAAAUAAUUUAGAAUUUUAUGUUGAAAAGAAUUUGAAUUACGAAAACACAUUUGAACUUGGAAAUCAAUCCUAAUCGAUUUUGGACUAAAACGAACUCAAUUCUAAUCCUAGCCCAUAUUAAUAAAGCCCAAAACAAAUAACCCAUAAUCCUUCACCCUUGUUCAAUCCCAUGUGAAACACUCCCUCAACUUCACGUGAUAUAGAAAAAAAAAAAAAAAUCUCAAACUCUCCUUCCCUUUUCACGAUCCUCCUCCCUGCUCCUCUCUUUGCUCAGCCACCACCAGCAGCGCACCACCACCACCUGCUCGCGGACUCGUGGUUGUUCUUGCCGCGCCGCCUUGCUCUCACCGUCGUCGCCGCUGCCACCAUUGUUUCCUGCCGGCGACCAAGCCACCACCCGACACCGGUCUCCAUCGUCGCCACACUCAACCACCGUGCGCCGCUGUGCCCCACCUCGCCGCCCACUCGCUGCCGCGCCUGCCCUAACGCCGGCCAUCCACCCUUUUGUCUCUUUUUUGGUGGAGAAUUCUCCGUAGGCGACUUUUGAAUUAUUAAAGUGGUCUCGCUGUUUGUUUACACAAGUCUCUAAGGAUCAAUAAGCGUUGCCCAUCUACAGGUUUGAAGAUGAUGCAUCAUUGGGAUCGGGAUUAGAGAGCUUGUAGUUCAUUUGAUUUUCUAAGUUGGAUUUGGUUUGUUUAAGUGGACUCUAAAACUUAUUGAAUUAGUAACAUUAACUUUGUUUUUCGUUGAUUGGUUUUUGGGAUUUAUUCUGAAAAUGAUUAUUUAUAAACCUACAGUUAGUUUUAUGUUUUCCGCUGCAAAAUUCUGAAUAAGCCGUUACGUUUUCACACGGGCGAUAAUGCCUUGA
This is a long non-coding RNA of Spinacia oleracea (spinach), 1027 nucleotides long. RefSeq lists it as uncharacterized. Lineage: Eukaryota; Viridiplantae; Streptophyta; Magnoliopsida; Caryophyllales; Amaranthaceae. The record is from RefSeq and is a predicted model, not a curated record. The transcript is spliced from 5 exons.